GGCUAAGGUGGGGUCGGGAGGGGCGGGAACACGUAGGGGGGUAUGGGUGUCCGGGAUGAAUGUGCGUAAAGGCGGGGUAGGCGGCCCGGUAAGUCCGCUGUGAAAGUCGGGGGCUAAACCCUCGGAUGCCGGUGGAUACUGUCGGGCUUGAGUACGGAAGAGGCGAGUGGAAUUCCUGGUGUAGCGGUGAAAUGCGCAGAUAUCAGGAGGAACACCGAUUGCGAAGGCAGCUCGCUGGGACGUUACUGACGCUGAGACGCGAAAGCGUGGGGAGCAAACAGGAUUAGAUACCCUGGAGUC
Molecule: ribosomal RNA, 300 nt
Filed under: uncultured Vagococcus sp.
Lineage: Bacteria; Bacillati; Bacillota; Bacilli; Lactobacillales; Enterococcaceae
Description: bacterial SSU rRNA
Rfam family: Bacterial small subunit ribosomal RNA (bases 53-300)
Source: RNAcentral